This is a long non-coding RNA of Papilio xuthus (Asian swallowtail), 104 nucleotides long. RefSeq lists it as uncharacterized. The transcript has 3 exons. Lineage: Eukaryota; Metazoa; Arthropoda; Insecta; Lepidoptera; Papilionidae. The record is from RefSeq and is a predicted model, not a curated record.
AAGACCAAUCAACACCCUGUUCACAAGUUAGCAAACACAUAGCCAGCCGUUCCAACACUCCCGUACCUACUUGCCUUAUAAUAUUCGAAUAUUCAAUAGUUAUG